AGUGAACGCUGGCGGUAGGCCUAACACAUGCAAGUCGAACGGCAGCACAGUAAGAGCUUGCUCUUACGGGUGGCGAGUGGCGGACGGGUGAGGAAUACAUCGGAAUCUACUUUUUCGUGGGGGAUAACGUAGGGAAACUUACGCUAAUACCGCAUACGACCUACGGGUGAAAGCAGGGGAUCUUCGGACCUUGCGCGAUUGAAUGCGCCGAUGUCGGAUUAGCUAGUUGGCGGGGUAAAGGCCCACCAAGGCGACGAUCCGUAGCUGGUCUGAGAGGAUGAUCAGCCGCACUAGAACUGAGACACGGUCCAGGCUACUAAGGGAGGGAGCAGUGGGGAAUAUUGGACAAUGGGCGCAAGCAUGAUCCAGCCAUACCGCGUGGGUGGAGAAGGCCUUCGGGUUGUAAAGACCUUUUGUUGGGAAAGAAAAGCAGCAGGUUAAUACCCAGCUGUUCUGACGGUACCCAAAGAAUAAGCACCGGCUAACUUCGUG
Molecule: ribosomal RNA, 492 nt
Filed under: uncultured bacterium
Lineage: Bacteria
Description: partial 16S ribosomal RNA
Rfam family: Bacterial small subunit ribosomal RNA
Source: RNAcentral